Ictalurus punctatus (channel catfish) is the source of this 1324-nucleotide long non-coding RNA. Lineage: Eukaryota; Metazoa; Chordata; Actinopteri; Siluriformes; Ictaluridae. The record is from Ensembl.
UAUUCACAAAGCAAAUGGUUUCUUUUCAAAUAUGCUGUUAAAUGGUCACUUCUGUUUGUGCUGUAAAGACAGUUGAUGGUAGUUGGCAUUCCCUGAUGGAUUGUCUCUGUCUGACUGAAUUCAAUGCACUUCUCUGUUUUCAUUGCUGAAAAAAUCAGAAAAAGCACUGUAAUUUUUCUCCACAAGCGAAAACAACAGCUGUAUAAAUUAUACUAUAUCAUGUUGGUUUACUGUGGCUCAGGCAUGGUAGUAAUCUUUUUUCCAACCCCAAUCCCAAAAAAGUUGGGACAGUAUGGAAAAUGCAAAACAAACCGACAAAAUUAAUCAUUUGAAAAUUCAAUUCAACCUGUACUGUAUAUAUUGAAAACACAAAGUUUUACUUUGUGAAUUUAAUUUAUUUUUUGAAAAUAUACACUCAUUUCAAAUCUGAUGACUGCAGCACACUCCAAAAAAGUUGGGACAGUAAACUUUUUACCACUGUGUAACACAACCUUUUUUUUUUUUUUUUUUAAAUAACACUUAAGCGUUUGGGUACUGAAGACUCCAGUUGGGUUACCCAUGCCAUGGGCACUGACACACCCCCAUUCCAUGACAGAUGCUGGCUUUUGGACCUGACGCUGAUAACAGCUUGGAUGGUCCUUUUGGCCCGGAGAACACAACGGCUGUUUUGUCCAAAAACUAUUUUAAAAUGUUGACUUGUCGGACCACAAAACACAAUUCCACUGUGCUACUGUCCAUCUCAGAUGAGACUGAGCUCAGAGAAGUUGGUGGCGCUUCUGGACAGUGUUGUUGUGUGGCUUCUGCUUUGCAUCGUAAAGCCUCGCAUCUGUGGCUGCAGCGACAAAUGGAGUUGAUAGACAAAGCCAAUGGACAAUGGAGUAUUCCCGAGCCUGAGCCAAUAUCCAUUACAGACUCGGUUUUUAACCAUUUUUUAAGACAGUGACAUCUGAGGGAUCUGAGAUCACGCACAUUCAGAAGUGGCUUUCAGCCUUGCCCUUUAUGCACCAAGAUUUGACUGGAUUCCUUGAAUCUUUUAAUUAUAAAGUGCAUUGUAGAAGAUGAAAUGCCCAAAAUCCUACCGAUUUGUCUUUGGAAUGUUGUUCUCAAAGUGUUGGAUUAUUCGCUGAUGCAUCUGUUGGCAGAUUGGCGAGUCUCAACCCAUCCUACCUCUUGAAGGACUAGGCCUGUUUUGGAGGUGCCUUAUAUACUAUGAUUAGAUGAUUGCCUCAUCUGUUUAACAUCACCUUCUUAUUUCAACUUGUCACAUAACUAUUAGUUCUAAAUUGCCCCGUCCCUACUUUUUUGGAAUGUGUUCCAUGCAUCA